RNAcentral lists this ribosomal RNA (248 nucleotides) under uncultured bacterium. RNAcentral describes it as "partial 16S ribosomal RNA". It matches the Rfam family "Bacterial small subunit ribosomal RNA", at positions 523 to 769 of the family's 1533-position model. The record is from RNAcentral.
AUACGGAGGGUGCGAGCGUUGUUCGGAAUUAUUGGGCGUAAAAGCGCGUGUAGGCGGUUUGUUAAGUCUGAUGUGAAAGCCCUGGGCUCAACCCAGGAAGUGCAUUGGAAACUGGCAGACUUGAAUACGGGAGAGGGUAGUGGAAUUCCUAGUGUAGGAGUGAAAUCCGUAGAUAUUAGGAGGAACACCGGUGGCGAAGGCGGCUACCUGGACCGAUAUUGACGCUGAGACGCGAAAGCGUGGGUAGC